Peromyscus maniculatus bairdii (prairie deer mouse) is the source of this 552-nucleotide non-coding RNA. Lineage: Eukaryota; Metazoa; Chordata; Mammalia; Rodentia; Cricetidae. The record is from RefSeq and is a predicted model, not a curated record.
CUGAGAGGCUGGGGAGUGUCCUGAGCAUAGGGAACCUCGAAGCCCGCCCCCACAGUGACGCACUUCCCCCAACAAGGCCACACCCACUCCAACAAAGCCACGCCUCCUAAUCGUGCCACUCCCUAUGAGAUGAUGGGGGCCAGUGACAUUCAAACCACCCCACCAUACAAGUACAGCAAUAGCUUUGUCCAGUUUUCACUUCAGACUUAGUAAUUAGGAGGAAGAAUGAGCAAGCAACUUGACCUUUCAGGGAAGAGCAACUUCACGAACCUUCCACACGCUGGAGAGUGUCGAACUCUCAUCAACAAGGAGAUUCUAAAAGCAAGAAGAGUCCUUUUCUUUUCAGUAUCACCUGGAGUAGCUGCUCCUGCUGUGGACAGUUCCAGAUACCACUCUGGAAAGCCAGGCAUGUCUGCACUCAACAGGAACUGUUCCUAGGUAACCGUGGAGGAUGGCAGGUCUGAGAUCUGACGGUUCAUGUCCGUGGAAACACCACAACAGCGGGUUACUGACAGCAUGCAUUCAGUGUUUGAACACAACAGGAAACAUUCA